RNAcentral lists this ribosomal RNA (476 nucleotides) under uncultured bacterium. RNAcentral describes it as "bacterial SSU rRNA". It matches the Rfam family "Bacterial small subunit ribosomal RNA", at positions 28 to 496 of the family's 1533-position model. The record is from RNAcentral.
GAUGAACGCUAGCGGCAGGCUUAAUACAUGCAAGUCGAGGGGCAGCAGGUCUGUAGCAAUACAGAUGCUGGCGACCGGCAAACGGGUGCGGAACACGUACAGAACCUUCCUUCGAGCGGGGAAUAGCCCAGAGAAAUUUGGAUUAAUACCCCAUAGUACAUUGAAGAGGCAUCUCUUUAAUAUUAAAGAUUUAUCACUUGAAGAUGGCUGUGCGGCNGAUUAGGUAGUUGGCGGGGUAACGGCCCACCAAGCCUACGAUCAGUAACUGGUGUGAGAGCACGACCAGUCACACGGGCACUGAGACACGGGCCCGACUCCUACGGGAGGCAGCAGUAAGGAAUAUUGGUCAAUGGACGCAAGUCUGAACCAGCCAUGCCGCGUGGAGGAUGAAGGUCCUCUGGAUUGUAAACUUCUUUUAUAUGGGACGAAAAGGAUCUUUCUAGAUCACCUGACGGUACCAUAUGAAUAAGCACCGG